AGCUCUCUAGGAUAUUGGCUAAUCAAUAUUGUCCCUGAGCCGAUAACUACACCCCGGAGACUUGCCUAAUGGCAUUGUUGUGCACGUCCGCUAGACGGAAAGCCUGAUAUGCCGGACGAGUCACCACCUGAACUCUUGGGUUCAGGACUCCGUUGGUAGCGGUAUUCCGGAGAGUCU
This 177-nucleotide non-coding RNA is filed under the name SAR86 cluster bacterium. RNAcentral's name for it is "6S RNA". It matches the Rfam family "6S / SsrS RNA". From Rfam's summary of the family: E. coli 6S RNA was the first non coding RNA to be sequenced, but its function was unknown until recently. It consists of 184 nucleotides that fold into an extended hairpin structure with a large single-stranded internal bulge. RNAcentral also lists the same sequence under 1 other name. The record is from RNAcentral. Lineage: Bacteria; Pseudomonadati; Pseudomonadota; Gammaproteobacteria.